Molecule: ribosomal RNA, 424 nt
Filed under: uncultured bacterium
Lineage: Bacteria
Description: bacterial SSU rRNA
Rfam family: Bacterial small subunit ribosomal RNA
Source: RNAcentral
GAAUUUUGGACAAUGGGCGCAAGCCUGAUCCAGCCAUGCCGCGUGAGUGAAGAAGGCCUUCGGGUUGUAAAGCUCUUUCGGCGGGGACGAAACGGGCCGUGCUAAAACCCCGGGCCAAUGACGGUACUCCCAGAAGAAGCACCGGCCAACUACGUGCCCGCAGCCGCGGUAAUACGUAGGGUGCAGGCGUUAAUCGGAAUUAAUGGGCGUAAAGCGUGCGCAGGCGGCUCCUUAAGUCAGAUGUGAAAGCCCCGGGCUUAACCUGGGAACUGCGUUUGAAACUGGGGAGCUAGAGUGUGGAAGAGGGGGGUGGAAUUCCAGGUGUAGCAGUGAAAUGCGUAGAGAUCUGGAGGAACACCGAUGGCGAAGGCAGCCCCCUGGGCUAACACUGACGCUCAUGCACGAAAGCGUGGGGAGCAAACAG